AAUGGCGUGCACCUGUAAUCCCAGCUACUCGGAAGUCUGAGGCUGGAAGAUCACUUGAGCUCAGAAGUUCUGGGCUGCAGUGCGCUGUGUGUAUGGGGUGUCUGCACUAAGUUCGGCAUCAAUAUGGUGCCCUCCCGGGAGAGGGGACCCACCAGGUUGCCUAAGGAGCCGUGAACCGGCCCAGGUCAGAAACAGAGCAGGUCAACUCCCGUGCUGAUCAGAGAAUUUAGAAUAAUCAAAGCAAUUUAAAAAAAUAACAAAGUUGGAGGGUUUAU
This 275-nucleotide signal recognition particle RNA is filed under the name Cervus hanglu yarkandensis (Yarkand deer). Its description in RNAcentral is "Metazoan signal recognition particle RNA (ENSCHYG00000023672.1)". It matches the Rfam family "Metazoan signal recognition particle RNA". From Rfam's summary of the family: The signal recognition particle (SRP) is a universally conserved ribonucleoprotein. It is involved in the co-translational targeting of proteins to membranes. The eukaryotic SRP consists of a 300-nucleotide 7S RNA and six proteins: SRPs 72, 68, 54, 19, 14, and 9. Lineage: Eukaryota; Metazoa; Chordata; Mammalia; Artiodactyla; Cervidae. The record is from RNAcentral.